UGGUGGCUCCUGAGUUCUUGUCUCAGUUGAUCCCGGGGAUGAGGGUGGAUGGAGGGGCUGACGUGGAUCGCCACUUUACUGACGGCGAUCUGGAUUAGCUUUUCUCAGCCGGGGGCUAUUGGUCUUUCAUUAUAGUGUGCUGUAGAGGGGCCCAAAGUUUUCGUCAGAUCUUGAUUUGUUUUUGGUACGUACUGUAGCAUUAUUAGUGUAGUGUAGGACACUGCAAUUUGCCUUCCACGCAGCUGCGGCCUUUCCGCCGCGCCGGACCGCGGCCGCGCGGGGUGCGUGCAUCACGAAUAACGUGUGCAGUCAACGGGAUUAUCUAGAACUGCACCAACCAACUAAACUAAUUAAGAGUGGACAAUGCUUGCAAGUGGUUCUACAUAGGUUUUCCUUGUGCCGGCGGCGACCGGCAGCAAUCCACCAUAGCCAACCUUCAUUG
RNAcentral lists this long non-coding RNA (442 nucleotides) under Hordeum vulgare. RNAcentral describes it as "long non-coding RNA (HVUL_LNC001639)". Lineage: Eukaryota; Viridiplantae; Streptophyta; Magnoliopsida; Poales; Poaceae. The record is from RNAcentral.